This 873-nucleotide ribosomal RNA is filed under the name uncultured organism. RNAcentral's name for it is "SSU rRNA". It matches the Rfam family "Bacterial small subunit ribosomal RNA", at positions 38 to 921 of the family's 1533-position model. The record is from RNAcentral.
GGCGGCGCGCCUAACACAUGCAAGUCGAACGGAGUCAAGAGUAGCUUGCUUUUCUUGACUUAGUGGCGAACGGGUGAGUAACGCGUGAGUAACCUGCCCUGGAGUGGGGGACAACAGUUGGAAACGACUGCUAAUACCGCAUAAGCCCACGGAUCCGCAUGGAUCUGCGGGAAAAGGAUUUAUUCGCUUCAGGUUGGACUCGCGUCCAAUUAGCUAGUUGGUGAGGUAACGGCCCACCAAGGCGACGAUUGGUAGCCGGACUGAGAGGUUGAACGGCCACAUUGGGACUGAGACACGGCCCAGACUCCUACGGGAGGCAGCAGUGGGGGAUAUUGCACAAUGGGGGAAACCCUGAUGCAGCGACGCCGCGUGGAGGAAGAAGGUUUUCGGAUUGUAAACUCCUGUCGUUAGGGACGAUAAUGACGGUACCUAACAAGAAAGCACCGGCUAACUACGUGCCAGCAGCCGCGGUAAAACGUAGGGUGCAAGCGUUGUCCGGAAUUACUGGGUGUAAAGGGAGCGCAGGCGGACCGGCAAGUUGGAAGUGAAAACUAUGGGCUCAACCCAUAAAUUGCUUUCAAAACUGCUGGCCUUGAGUAGUGCAGAGGUAGGUGGAAUUCCCGGUGUAGCGGUGGAAUGCGUAGAUAUCGGGAGGAACACCAGUGGCGAAGGCGACCUACUGGGCACCAACUGACGCUGAGGCUCGAAAGCAUGGGUAGCAAACAGGAUUAGAUACCCUGGUAGUCCACACUGUAAACGAUGAUUACUAGGUGUUGGAGGAUUGACCCCUUCAGUGCCGCAGUUAACACAAUAAGUAAUCCACCUGGGGAGUACGACCGCAAGGUUGAAACUCAAAGGGAAUUGACGGGGGGC